RNAcentral lists this ribosomal RNA (484 nucleotides) under uncultured bacterium. RNAcentral's name for it is "partial 16S ribosomal RNA". It matches the Rfam family "Bacterial small subunit ribosomal RNA", at positions 30 to 507 of the family's 1533-position model. The record is from RNAcentral.
AUUGAACGCUGGCGGCAGGCCUAACACAUGCAAGUCGAGCGGAUGAAGAGAGCUUGCUCCUGGAUUCAGCGGCGGACGGGUGAGUAAUGCCUAGGAAUCUGCCUGGUAGUGGGGGCUAACGUCCGGACACGGGCGCUAAUACCGCAUACGUCCUGAGGGAGAAAGUGGGGGAUCUUCGGACCUCACGCUAUCAGAUGAGCCUAGGUCGGAUUAGCUAGUUGGGGGGGUAAAGGCCUACCAAGGCGACGAUCCGUAACUGGUCUGAGAGGAUGAUCAGUCACACUGGAACUGAGACACGGUCCAGACUCCUACGGGAGGCAGCAGUGGGGAAUAUUGGACAAUGGGCGAAAGCCUGAUCCAGCCAUGCCGCGUGUGUGAAGAAGGUCUUCGGAUUGUAAAGCACUUUAAGUUGGGAGGAAGGGCAGUAAGUUAAUACCUUGCUGUUUUGACGGUACCAACAGAAUAAGCACCGGCUAACUUCGUG